CCUACGGGUGACAGCAGUCGAGAAUCAUUCACAAUGGGGGAAACCCUGAUGGUGCGACGCCGCGUGGGGGAAUGAAGGUCUUCGGAUUGUAAACCCCUGUCAUGUGGGAGCAAAUUAAAAAGAUAGUACCACAAGAGGAAGAGACGGCUAACUCUGUGCCAGCAGCCGCGGUAAUACAGAGGUCUCAAGCGGUGUUCGGAAUCACUGGGCGUAAAGCGUGCGUAGGCUGUUUCGUAAGUCGUGUGUGAAAGGCGCGGGCUCAACCCGCGGACGGCACAUGAUACUGCGAGACUAGAGUAGUGGAGGGGGAACCGGAAUUCUCGGUGUAGCAGUGAAAUGCGUAGAUAUCGAGAGGAACACUCGUGGCGAAGGCGGGUUCCUGGACAUUAACUGACGCUGAGGCACGAAGGCCAGGGGAGCGAAAGGGAUUAGAUACCCCUGUAGUC
This 446-nucleotide ribosomal RNA is filed under the name uncultured bacterium. Its description in RNAcentral is "partial 16S ribosomal RNA". It matches the Rfam family "Bacterial small subunit ribosomal RNA", at positions 338 to 795 of the family's 1533-position model. The record is from RNAcentral.